This 31519-nucleotide long non-coding RNA is filed under the name Daucus carota (carrot). RNAcentral describes it as "long non-coding RNA (DCAR_LNC006467)". Lineage: Eukaryota; Viridiplantae; Streptophyta; Magnoliopsida; Apiales; Apiaceae. The record is from RNAcentral.
UUCCAUUGGUACGAAUGGGAAGACACUGAGAGUUGGAACCGUGAGGCAGGGUAUAUUGGACCAAACCAGUCUUGCGGAUGAUCGGUUGGAUCCAUUUCCGACUUGGGCGUCAUUAGUUUUGAGUCAUGAUGGGUUGAAGCAUGCUGAUAUUUAUCAGAAAAUAAUAAAUUGAAGUGUUCUAUUAUUUUAUGUAUUAUUAGUUAUUUGAAGGAUGGAUUGGAUGCUGAAAAAUUAUGUCAAGUAAAAGUUUCUCACUAGACAUCAUUUUAUGCAUCAAACUUUCUAUGUCAGAACUAAUAAGCUAAGGAUAGUGUCAGAUCAAUUAUAAAAUGAUGAGCAUUUGUGUAAUAUUUGCUGAAUGAAUUCUACACCCUGUGGUCAUUUAGUGAACUUAAAAUAAAUCUAUCUAUUAUACGAGAACAUGUUUUUCUGUCCUGAGCAAAUUUAUUCAGGUAAGGAAAUCCCGGCCUAUUUACCAACCUAUCCUGUCCAACUGAUGCGUGCUCCUUCUUAGACCCAGUCUUCCAACAAACUAAUCCCUCCCACCAGGGGCUCCAUUCUUCUUCUACGAUCUGGCUAGAUGAGGUCGAUUCUAGUGAUUGGUUCAGGUAAGCUCGUUAUGAUGCCGGCAUCCUGCACUCCAGUAAAUUAUUAGAAGGUGAGGAAGCUUUCAAUCUCAUGUCUUUUUGUCCUCUCCCCAUACGUCUCCCCACAGGAGCCUGAUGAAGGUUUGGGAUUUCUGAGCAAAAAGAAAUUGACAUUUUUUAUUAUGAUUUACAAACUUGAAUUGAAUUCAUAGUUUGGUAAAAUUAUUAAUGUUCUUUUUUCUUUUCACUAAUUCAAUAUAUGUGUUUCCAAGCCUGAAAUUCUCGGGGUUGCGUAUGUUCUUUGGGUAUGUACUUGCAGAAAUUCAGAUAAAGAAACCAAAGCAUGAAUAAUUAAUAGAGAUUGUUGCUAAGUUGUACAUUUUUGUUUGGCCUGUUGAGGAACAUUUGCGUUCGUCAAGUUUUCUGUGGAGGACAUAUAUUUCAAAUAGCACUUGUAGUGUGUAAGUGUUUGUUAUACUGAUUGAAAUGACUUUUAAGAUUGCAAGUAUAAUUAGGCCAACAUACAGCAAUAUUUUUUUUUAUAAUUGUGUGUCUAAUAGAUCUCCUGAAUAUUAAACCGUAUACCUUAUUCUCGUAAAAAUUUGAAGCCAAACAGCAGGCUUUUAGGUAUAAAUUUGGGCAAUGACUGUCUUGGAUAUGUGUAUUUAGAUUCUUAUACAUGUCUGAAGUUAAUAAAGUUAUUAGAAGUUAUAUAUGAGAUAUAUAUUAACUGUUAGAUUAUCAACCUUUGUUUUUACAGAUAUAUAACUUAUUCAAAGGAGGAAGAAGCAGUUUGUUGCAUUCAGUCAGUGUAUACACAUUGGAGGGUAGACCAUUAAGGUCUGAUUCUAUUGGCUUUAGUGGAGUGCAGCAGUAAUGUUAUCUGUUUGCUUAUUUACUAUUCUUGUGUUGCAGAGCCUGUUUUGGAACCACAAAAUAUUCCCAUGCAUGUCUGAGGAGUGUGGUAUGGUCCUUAAUUUAAUUAAUUGUGAGUAAUUCGACUAUGGGGGCAUACUGUAAUGGAAGGGUAUAUAUUCGCGGACUAAUAUAUUUCUGAAUUAAAUUCUGACUGUAAGGCUAUUUUUGUUAGAUGGAAAAGAACUUGAUGGUUGAAUUACCAUACCACUAAAUUCAGUUCCACUACACAUUUACAAUGGUGUAAUAAUGUUUGUAAGCAUAGAGCACACGAUAGUUUAUGGAGUAUCUUGUGGUAGGUACGAGUGCUACAUAAUUUAAUUGGAUUUGUCAGAGUCGAAUAUUCAAGCUAUACUUUGUCCACUUAUGUUGUUUAACCAAUUAUUAUUUGUCGAAGUUGGGUCUUCGGUAUAUGUAGAUUCCUCAUUUUUCUGACUUUGCUAAUUACGGAAGAACUUUACAACUUUUACUCUAUUUGUAUACCUUGCACAGUGAUUUCUUUUGAUUUUUUUAGCUUUUACAUGAAUAUGACUCAGGUGUAUGUAUGUUAGACAGUUAAGAUUGGUGAAAUCCUUGCGCAAUUUAUGGAACUUCAGACCUUGGGUGACAGGAAUUUGCAGUUUGCUUUCUUAUUUCAGUUUACGAGAGUGUAUUAUCUUUUUUUGAUUGAUUUUAGGCAAAUAAUACGGGGACGAUGUCAAGCAAAAUGAAAAAGAAAGCAAAAUUGCAGCGUGUCAUUCGUAGCAUGAAAAAACAGCAGCUCCAGUCUUCAGAAAAGACUACAAGCUUCAGGUCAUAUUCACCUCUUAACCAUUUACAUGAUGCUCAGGUAAUAAUAAUCAUCUGAGGUUUUGGUGAUCACUGAUACUCUGCAGUUUUAGGAUAGCAAGAUAACUCAUCAUACUUAUAUUUUGUUGUCAGGGAUUUGUUGAAAAGCUGUAUUCUCGUCUCCAAACUGCUGACAAAUUUGAGGUAUUCAGACUGAUGUGUAAUGUUUAGCUUUUUCUUUCUAAUUUAUUCAAGAUCCAAUCUGCACCUUUUAACACCAUUUUAUGUGUCACAGAAGUUAUUAUCUAAAUUGCUUUAUAACCUUUAUUUUUUCUAUUAUCUGUGCUUGUUUCAUUUCCACAAUCUCUAUCAGUUAUGUUGUUUAGUGUCUUCUUAGUAUACAUCUGAUAAUGUGAAACUUUAGCACAGCGAACUGUAUUGUUUGAAAUCUGUACCUUUUAUGUAUGUAUUGUAUUGAAUAAAAAUCAUCAUUACGCGAUCAUGAGCAACAGAAAGCAGCUAUUGAUAACACAAAAUAUUAAAAUUCGUUUUAGUUCUAUCUGAACCCAGAUAAUCUAUGAUGACCAAUUUUACAUGGUAAUGACUUAAAAGUUUAUGGUUUAAUUCUCAAAAGUUUAUAAUUUUAACAGUUCAGUCUUCCCAAGACAACUUUACUGCCCUGAAGCAGGUUUUGGAAAAUUAGAGAGAAGUGUUACAAAGUUGACAGAAAUAUUCCUUGUGCACUGUAAGAUAAAAGGAAAACCGGAUUCUGCAGAAACUGUUGUGUUGGUCGAUGGCUAUUUGACAAAGCGAGCCUGUUGCUGGUUUUCACGCUUAGGUAUGCAGGCCGGUGAUUAUGUAAUGUAAAGGAGAAAAUGCAAUUAACUUUACUUAUGAUUUAAAAAGACAUCCUUCUUGUCAUUUCAGUUGUUGUGGGAUAUUGUCCAUUUGGAGAACAGGAACAGGCAUUGCAAUAUUUUACUGAACUACCUCGGUUUCAUCACACGUGUGACUUUUUGAAAGGAUUAUUUGUUUUUAUAUAUAACCAGUCUUGUUUUGAUCUGAAUUUCACUGCUAAUAUAUUUUUCCCUGGUGAUUCUCAGGGUAAAUGUUGUGUUUCGUCUAGUUUCAACCGUUUCUGUUCCUAUGAACUUCACAAUAUGAACAUAAUCAAGGUGAUAAAGAGUCAUAUUGUUACAUAACAGUUUGAUGAAUAUUUUGGUUCAAGUACUUCAUGAUAUGUUUUCUUGUUUUGUAGAAUUUACCAGGCGUGGAUGCUCUCACUGCAUUUGCAUAUUUCUUUGAUGCUGAGUCCACAAGGAAGUACGUAAGUUCAAGAAGUUUGGCAGAGGAAAGACAAGUAAGUUCACAAAAAGUUUUGUAGUCCUUCAUUUCCUGGACUUGGUUGCUUGUCUCCCCUAAAACCUGCUAGCUUAAAAGAGUAUUUGGCUGCAAUUUCCUGAAAUGCUUUACUUGAGAGUCUCUAUUUUUCUUCCAUUACUUUUAAAUGGUUGAAUAUAGAACUGUAAUAUCCGAAAUUGUGUCUUCUCAAGCAAACAGAUUACUGGCAGUUGAUAGUACUAUGCCAAAACCAGAGUAGAACUCAUGAAUUAGAAAAUUUCAUCAUAGGAUCAGCUUUGCAUAAAUUGAUGAUUUGCUUUACCAUUAUUUCCUUAUGCAACACUAAUUUAAUACUUUGAAUUUGAAUGCACGGGACGCUAAUCUACUUUUGCAGUUCAAAGUGUCCAAAUGUCAUUGUUACAACUUAAAACUGUAAAGACAUAUUGAAGAUUGAAGUACAACACCAAGAAAAUAAGUACUCAAUUAAUUUCUAUUUACAUCUCGUGUAGUAUCUGAAAGAAUAUAUAGCUUGAACCAUUAUGUGAAUUUUCCCCUUAUAUAGCUGCUGUUUGGUGCAGAUAAGCAGCUUACUUCUAGGUAGUAUGCUAGAUGUGGUAGAGGAGGUACAAUUAGCUCGGUUAGAACUUCGUAAUCUCAUUCAGUGUAUCUUCUGCUCUGAGUCAGGUAACUUCUGUACUUCUCCACUUGAAAGUUUCUUUUCGCAGGUGUGCUCUAAAUUUCGUUUGUUUCUUGCUUAGUCAGCCUAUGAGAAAGGAUGCCUUUCGUUUGUUUUUUUACCCCUGUUCUUUAAAAUCUCAAUUUUUUUUGUCUUGAAUAAGGAAACCUUUUUUUUAAAAAUAACUGCAGUAGUUAGUUUUUACUGGCUGGCACUGCCAAUCAAAGUGUGAGACUCACUUAUGGCCAAAUGCUUAGUUAAAGUUACUUUGUCCUUUGCUAGACUUUAAUGCUAAAUAUGAGAAUCUUUGUAUUGAGAUGAACUGAUGGUGCCUCAUGCCUGUGUCGCUUGAUGGAGCAUAGGAGCAUGCAUCGGUUGAAAUAUUGUAGUUAUUAAUUGUCCCUCUACUGUGCUAAUAUGGGGGGAUGAAUCUCUCGUGAAUCAAAGCAUAAUAAUCCUUCAUAUUUUUUCUAAUGUUAACCGUGUUUACAUGCAAUUGUAGUUAAUUUCCAUUUUGUGUGCAGUUGAACAGCUUGAUUUGCAGCUUUAUUUCCUUAAUCUUAAAAGUGGUAAAAGAGCAAUCUUUACUUUUGACUUGUCCUGUUUAAAAGGUACAGAGCCUUACUUUCGAAUAUUGAUUGUUUCUACUUUCUGCUAUUAUGAAUUAUUAUUUACCUUAUUCCUAUCAGAUGUUCCCGGGUGGUAAUAUUGGACCCGACACGAACUCGACCCAUAAAUACGAAUUCGGGUUGGAGUUUUUCAGGUUCGGGUCGAAUUCGGGUUGACCAAACUACUAGGAUAUAUACGUAUUUGAGAAGUCAUAAAAGUUGCAGAAAAUGAAAGUCCUGCCUAACGAUGGAAAGUCUCGAAAUUAAAAUUGAAUUUUUUAUUGGAAGGAAAGAUAUGCUAGAGAAUGAAAAGAUUGGUAGUGAUGGUAAAUAUCGACUAGGAGGAAGGAACGUAUCUCCUGUUUACAUAGAAAUGAUUGAAUUUGCUAUUAUAGAUGAUAGGUAGCUUUGUAUAUAAACUCUCUUUAGUCAUUGUAAUUCUAUAUACAUAUUUGAGUGAUUGCAAGUUGAAUUAGGUUAUCGUGAAGCUUUGUAUUUUGUACAUAGAGAGUUUGAGAGAGUUUGUGUAUUGAGUUUGUAAUUGCAAGAGUUGCAGGCGCAACUACUAAGGUUUUUGUACGCAUUUGUAAAGAAAGUUUGAACUUGUUCAUAUAUAUACAUACAGUUGUUUUCAUCAUUGUGUUUAUUGAUUAUUCGUUGCUUGAAUAUUUGUUUUAUUAAUUGAUAAACGGACAUUGUUUACGGUACUUAUAUUCAACCCCACCUUGUAAAAGUACAUUGUUAGGAAUAUGUUAGGCUUGAUGAUAAGUCAAAACAGUUUAAGUAAAUGUAGCGACCAUUUUGUAAAUAUUUAAUAUACUAAGUAUGUAAACUACUCAAGUGAAGUGAAGAUUAACGACUAAAUCUAAGCUAUCAACGGAUAAGGAAUAAAAUUUCAUCAACGACUAAUAAAGAUAAGCUAUCAACUGAUAAUAAGAAGCAAUUAAUGGCCAAGUCAUGAAAGCUAUUAACAGCUAUCACAUUGGUUUAUUAUUUGCUAAAUCAAGCAUUAUCAGUUGACAGCUACAAUAGAGAAAAAAGACAACAGUCAUAUGGGAUGGGAUAUGGGAUGGGAUGAUCAAAUAAAGUUUAAUUUGUUUUGAAAGCUAAGACAAGUAAAGGCCUAGCACUAUGUUGAUCAAAUAUGUGUUGGAAGAAAGAUGAAGAAUCAUCUUUUCGAUAUACAAUUUCAGGAGCACCAUCUUUCUUUCUGAAGAAGAUGAUUAAUGAAUGGAUGAGCUGAUUAUCCUUCUGGAUCUUCUUACAAUGAGUUACCCAUGACUUUGGAAGAACUUUAACUAGCUCGUUUUUAAAAAUUUGCUUUGGCACAUGAAUACAUGAGCUUGGUUGAGCAUCAAAUUGUAGAAAUAGUGCAUUAUUUGUAUCUCAGGGAAGACUGGGGUCAAAUAAAUGGUUCUGGAAUAUUCUAUAGGUCAUUUAAUGCAGAAGACUGGUAAUAUAAGUUUCUGAAAUUUGCAGUGCUCCAAUAAUCUGAAGCUAAACUUUGAGAUUAUUUUAGAUAAAAGGGUCACCAAGCUUCAAAUUGAAGUUUCGAAAAAAGCGUUACAAAAAUUGUACCAGCUUUUAACGUGGUUUGAACAAUAGCUGCGUAUGCACCAAAAGUGUCAUCCUUGCAAUCACUAGUAGUCAUUUCCUUCAUAGAGGGUUAGACAUUCUAACAGCUCCAAAAUGAAGAUGAAAAAAGUUUUGCAUCCGUCACUGCUCUGGCAACGAAUCUCCCAACAAAAUAGGAAUAAUAUGCUCUACUUCAGUAGAAAGAAUAUGGACUUGCUCGAGAUUUGAAAUCAAGACUAGAUCUUUAGCUUCUAAGUCUUUUUGAGAAGAAAGAACAUGAUGUUUUUUAGUGAAAGCUCGAUAUGGGUUUAGCAAAGAAAGUUAGGUGAUAGGAAUCUUAUUAUCUUCAUUGUUGUAAUUUAUAGAUUCAAGAAAAUCACUUUUUUUUAUUGAGAGGAACAAAAGAGUUCUUAGAAGAAAAGAAGGAUGAAGAAGAUAGUUGGUCGGCUUGAGGGACAACUUGAUAGAUAUCAAUCUAGCAUAUCAAUAAUACGAUGAUACUUGUCUGGAUAUCUUUAUCAUAAAAGAUAAGAUUCUCUAUUUAAAAUUAUUACUUCCACGUUAUUAUAUAUUUCCAUACAUUUUUAUUUUUUAUCUUACAAAACACGACAAUAUUAUAAGUUUUAGAGUGAUUGACACUUUGCAUCCCUUGUGUUUAGGCGCUUUUACGAUUUGGUCUCAAACAAUUUUUUUUACAGUAUGCGCCCUAAAGUUUGAAAAACGUUUCGCUUUGCACCCCUUUUGACCACUAUCCGUUAGUUGACCGUUAAAGUUAACAGAUUUCAGGUUUUCACUUUGCACCUCACAAUUUUAAUUUUUUUCAUAAGUAUUUUAAAAUAUUUUAUUUUGUUAUUAUUUUCAUUCUUGGUAUCAGUACCAUGUGUUAGUUAUGGUUGUUAUUCUCGUCCCACAGGCGACACUAAUAAUGUGAAUAAAAAUCUUAAUCCAGGAUUGUCAAGUUUAGAUAGGGGUUGUUUUGACUAACCUGUGUUAUUGGACUAUAUAUUUUAAAAGAUUUUUGACAAUCAAGUCGAGACGUAAUUCUUUAUUAUGAGUUACUGAUAUAUUUAUAGAAGGUGUAAAAAUUUUCGAUUUAGACCAAGUUUAGGUUUCUUGAAUAGAAAUCCACUCCUGAUCCUUAUAUAGGACUCAAUGUUAAAGUUAUGGAUCGUUUGGUUUAUGAGUAUCUGGAAUCAAGUACGGGAGUUUGUUCAUACCAAACUAAUACCUGGUGUUUGGUUGGAUAAUAUAUAAUCUCAUACUCAUAUCUUAAACCUCCCAGGUAUGGGUUUUUGAUAUCCAAGUGGGGAGGUAGGUAUGAGAUGGGGGCAUGAGAUGCAUUCAUUUUUUAUUUUUUUGCCUCUAUUUAAAUAAUAAAAUAUUAAUGUUUUAUACAAAAUUAAAUCAAUGAUGCAAAAAUAUAUAUGUCUAAAUAAUUUUAUUAAUAUUUUUAAUUAAUAUAAAUUAAUAACUUAUUUUUUACAAAAAUAAUGUAUAUAUUAAUUUCAGCACUCAACGAAACACAUGAUAGCAGAUAUGAUACCUCAAAAGUUCAAACUCAUAUCAGCUUAACCCGAUUUCUCGUUCCGACCACGUAUCACUCGUCGAAACCAAACGACCCGUUAGUGUUAUUCCAAUUAGUCAUACUGAACUUCAUGCGAGAAAUCAAGCGAAUUUGGGUUCCUCAACCCAAUAAAGUCUUUAUUUUCAAACCGAGUUGGGCUCCCGUCAUAAAUUCUGGGCUUAUAUUUAAUUACGGUCUUUCUAAUAUGUGCCCAAGAGCACACAAUAAUCACUAAAUUUUAUAAAAAUGAUUUAUUCUGGUGGAGUUGAUGUGAAUGAGAGGGGCCAUUAUCAUUUAUUAUUCAUCCACCAAGCAGAAGAAACUAUUUUUAUUGGAGUUAGCGAAUAUUGUGUGCCCUUGGGCACACCAUAGAAAAUCCCAUUUAAUUAAACAUCAAGUAUAAUUAAAUAAUUUAUUUUAGACCAUAUCAAUUAUAAAGUAUGAAAUUAAACUUUAGGGAAAACACCAAAAGUUCAAAUUUAGGGAUAAAUAAUUUAAAAAAAGAAAAAAAAUCAUUUUGAAAUUUGAAAUGUCAAAAAAGAAUUUUAAAAAUAUGAAAAUUGGGUAUAUUUUGUUAUAAUUUAAUAUGAUGAACAUAUAUUGAAUUAUUUUAAAUUAAUUUUCUCUUUUCCUCUGAAUUUAUAAUUUUUUGUUUCUACCGGAAAAAAAAUCCCCACAUUGUUUCUUAUUUCUGAUGUUCUCAUUAUAAAAGAUUUCUCUAUAAAAAUAUAUGACAGUUAGUUACUCGGAGAGGCGUGAACGUAAUUUUCUUGUAUAAGUUUCUAUCAAUUCUUGAUUUCUGCCGGUACAUUGUCUUCGUCGGCUUUCUUUGUCCAAUCAGGUUCGAUUUAACUGUUUCUCAUUUCUUGAAGUCUACCUGUCCUGCUGUACAUUCUUGAUUCUGAUUUCUGAUGGUUCUCUUUGAUUUUGAUUUCUACUACCUCCUGCUCUGCUGUACAUUCUUGAUUCUGUACUGCUGUACAUUCUUGAUUCUGAUUUGAGAUUUCUGAUGGUUCUAUUUGAUUUAAUUGUUUCAUAAUUACAGUUUGUCACAUUUAGAAACUGAUUGUUCUCCACUCUUUUUCACAGAACAGCACAAUGAUAUAUCACGCUGCUAGACAUGUUCGUGCAAGACUUGUGAGUUGUGGAAGAAUAAUCAGCAAGGGUUAUAAUGCAAAUUCUUUCAAUGAUGUCACAGAAAAGGGUAACAUUGUAUAUCUUUACUUGAAUAAUCAGCGAAAGUUAUAAUGCAAAUUCUUUACUUGAAUACACUGUAUAUCUUUACUUUCUCUCUAUCAUGGUAUCUCUUCGAUCUUUGUAACAUCCUGGAUAAUGAAUAUUUAUUUCAUCAACUCUACUCUCUGGGCAGUUCCACUGAAUAAGCGAACAGUGUUUCGCGCAAAACCUAGAGUACGAGGUUGUAGCUGGGAUUAUCCAGGUACAAGACAACCUUUAAUAACGAUCAUUGACAUUUAAUUCCCCUGUAUAUAAACAAUAAAACCAUUGUGAGGCAUUGCUUGUUUUCUGAUACUGUCAUAUACUAUCAGGGGUACUCUUGNCUAAGUAUGUAAACUACUCAAGUGAAGUGAAGAUUAACGACUAAAUCUAAGCUAUCAACGGAUAAGGAAUAAAAUUUCAUCAACGACUAAUAAAGAUAAGCUAUCAACUGAUAAUAAGAAGCAAUUAAUGGCCAAGUCAUGAAAGCUAUUAACAGCUAUCACAUUGGUUUAUUAUUUGCUAAAUCAAGCAUUAUCAGUUGACAGCUACAAUAGAGAAAAAAGACAACAGUCAUAUGGGAUGGGAUAUGGGAUGGGAUGAUCAAAUAAAGUUUAAUUUGUUUUGAAAGCUAAGACAAGUAAAGGCCUAGCACUAUGUUGAUCAAAUAUGUGUUGGAAGAAAGAUGAAGAAUCAUCUUUUCGAUAUACAAUUUCAGGAGCACCAUCUUUCUUUCUGAAGAAGAUGAUUAAUGAAUGGAUGAGCUGAUUAUCCUUCUGGAUCUUCUUACAAUGAGUUACCCAUGACUUUGGAAGAACUUUAACUAGCUCGUUUUUAAAAAUUUGCUUUGGCACAUGAAUACAUGAGCUUGGUUGAGCAUCAACUUGUAGAAAUAGUGCAUCAUUUGUAUCUCAGGGAAGACUGGGGUCAAAUAAAUGGUUCUGGAAUAUUCUAUAGGUCAUUUAAUGCAGAAGACUGGUAAUAUAAGUUUCUGAAAUUUGCAGUGCUCCAAUAAUCUGAAGCUAAACUUUGAGAUUAUUUUAGAUAAAAGGGUCACCAAGCUUCAAAUUGAAGUUUCGAAAAAAGCGUUACAAAAAUUGUACCAGCUUUUAACGUGGUUUGAACAAUAGCUGCGUAUGCACCAAAAGUGUCAUCCUUGCAAUCACUAGUAGUCAUUUCCUUCAUAGAGGGUUAGACAUUCUAACAGCUCCAAAAUGAAGAUGAAAAAAGUUUUGCAUCCGUCACUGCUCUGGCAACGAAUCUCCCAACAAAAUAGGAAUAAUAUGCUCUACUUCAGUAGAAAGAAUAUGGACUUGCUCGAGAUUUGAAAUCAAGACUAGAUCUUUAGCUUCUAAGUCUUUUUGAGAAGAAAGAACAUGAUGUUUUUUAGUGAAAGCUCGAUAUGGGUUUAGCAAAGAAAGUUAGGUGAUAGGAAUCUUAUUAUCUUCAUUGUUGUAAUUUAUAGAUUCAAGAAAAUCACUUUUUUUUAUUGAGAGGAACAAAAGAGUUCUUAGAAGAAAAGAAGGAUGAAGAAGAUAGUUGGUCGGCUUGAGGGACAACUUGAUAGAUAUCAAUCUAGCAUAUCAAUAAUACGAUGAUACUUGUCUGGAUAUCUUUAUCAUAAAAGAUAAGAUUCUCUAUUUAAAAUUAUUACUUCCACGUUAUUAUAUAUUUCCAUACAUUUUUAUUUUUUAUCUUACAAAACACGACAAUAUUAUAAGUUUUAGAGUGAUUGACACUUUGCAUCCCUUGUGUUUAGGCGCUUUUACGAUUUGGUCUCAAACAAUUUUUUUUACAGUAUGCGCCCUAAAGUUUGAAAAACGUUUCGCUUUGCACCCCUUUUGACCACUAUCCGUUAGUUGACCGUUAAAGUUAACAGAUUUCAGGUUUUCACUUUGCACCUCACAAUUUUAAUUUUUUUCAUAAGUAUUUUAAAAUAUUUUAUUUUGUUAUUAUUUUCAUUCUUGGUAUCAGUACCAUGUGUUAGUUAUGGUUGUUAUUCUCGUCCCACAGGCGACACUAAUAAUGUGAAUAAAAAUCUUAAUCCAGGAUUGUCAAGUUUAGAUAGGGGUUGUUUUGACUAACCUGUGUUAUUGGACUAUAUAUUUUAAAAGAUUUUUGACAAUCAAGUCGAGACGUAAUUCUUUAUUAUGAGUUACUGAUAUAUUUAUAGAAGGUGUAAAAAUUUUCGAUUUAGACCAAGUUUAGGUUUCUUGAAUAGAAAUCCACUCCUGAUCCUUAUAUAGGACUCAAUGUUAAAGUUAUGGAUCGUUUGGUUUAUGAGUAUCUGGAAUCAAGUACGGGAGUUUGUUCAUACCAAACUAAUACCUGGUGUUUGGUUGGAUAAUAUAUAAUCUCAUACUCAUAUCUUAAACCUCCCAGGUAUGGGUUUUUGAUAUCCAAGUGGGGAGGUAGGUAUGAGAUGGGGGCAUGAGAUGCAUUCAUUUUUUAUUUUUUUGCCUCUAUUUAAAUAAUAAAAUAUUAAUGUUUUAUACAAAAUUAAAUCAAUGAUGCAAAAAUAUAUAUGUCUAAAUAAUUUUAUUAAUAUUUUUAAUUAAUAUAAAUUAAUAACUUAUUUUUUACAAAAAUAAUGUAUAUAUUAAUUUCAGCACUCAACGAAACACAUGAUAGCAGAUAUGAUACCUCAAAAGUUCAAACUCAUAUCAGCUUAACCCGAUUUCUCGUUCCGACCACGUAUCACUCGUCGAAACCAAACGACCCGUUAGUGUUAUUCCAAUUAGUCAUACUGAACUUCAUGCGAGAAAUCAAGCGAAUUUGGGUUCCUCAACCCAAUAAAGUCUUUAUUUUCAAACCGAGUUGGGCUCCCGUCAUAAAUUCUGGGCUUAUAUUUAAUUACGGUCUUUCUAAUAUGUGCCCAAGAGCACACAAUAAUCACUAAAUUUUAUAAAAAUGAUUUAUUCUGGUGGAGUUGAUGUGAAUGAGAGGGGCCAUUAUCAUUUAUUAUUCAUCCACCAAGCAGAAGAAACUAUUUUUAUUGGAGUUAGCGAAUAUUGUGUGCCCUUGGGCACACCAUAGAAAAUCCCAUUUAAUUAAACAUCAAGUAUAAUUAAAUAAUUUAUUUUAGACCAUAUCAAUUAUAAAGUAUGAAAUUAAACUUUAGGGAAAACACCAAAAGUUCAAAUUUAGGGAUAAAUAAUUUAAAAAAAGAAAAAAAAUCAUUUUGAAAUUUGAAAUGUCAAAAAAGAAUUUUAAAAAUAUGAAAAUUGGGUAUAUUUUGUUAUAAUUUAAUAUGAUGAACAUAUAUUGAAUUAUUUUAAAUUAAUUUUCUCUUUUCCUCUGAAUUUAUAAUUUUUUGUUUCUACCGGAAAAAAAAUCCCCACAUUGUUUCUUAUUUCUGAUGUUCUCAUUAUAAAAGAUUUCUCUAUAAAAAUAUAUGACAGUUAGUUACUCGGAGAGGCGUGAACGUAAUUUUCUUGUAUAAGUUUCUAUCAAUUCUUGAUUUCUGCCGGUACAUUGUCUUCGUCGGCUUUCUUUGUCCAAUCAGGUUCGAUUUAACUGUUUCUCAUUUCUUGAAGUCUACCUGUCCUGCUGUACAUUCUUGAUUCUGAUUUCUGAUGGUUCUCUUUGAUUUUGAUUUCUACUACCUCCUGCUCUGCUGUACAUUCUUGAUUCUGUACUGCUGUACAUUCUUGAUUCUGAUUUGAGAUUUCUGAUGGUUCUAUUUGAUUUAAUUGUUUCAUAAUUACAGUUUGUCACAUUUAGAAACUGAUUGUUCUCCACUCUUUUUCACAGAACAGCACAAUGAUAUAUCACGCUGCUAGACAUGUUCGUGCAAGACUUGUGAGUUGUGGAAGAAUAAUCAGCAAGGGUUAUAAUGCAAAUUCUUUCAAUGAUGUCACAGAAAAGGGUAACAUUGUAUAUCUUUACUUGAAUAAUCAGCGAAAGUUAUAAUGCAAAUUCUUUACUUGAAUACACUGUAUAUCUUUACUUUCUCUCUAUCAUGGUAUCUCUUCGAUCUUUGUAACAUCCUGGAUAAUGAAUAUUUAUUUCAUCAACUCUACUCUCUGGGCAGUUCCACUGAAUAAGCGAACAGUGUUUCGCGCAAAACCUAGAGUACGAGGUUGUAGCUGGGAUUAUCCAGGUACAAGACAACCUUUAAUAACGAUCAUUGACAUUUAAUUCCCCUGUAUAUAAACAAUAAAACCAUUGUGAGGCAUUGCUUGUUUUCUGAUACUGUCAUAUACUAUCAGGGGUACUCUUGGCCAGGAAUAUCACUGAUCCAAGCACUCCCAGUGUAGCAGCAAUUCUCAGAGGUUCAAAAACUGUAUGCAGACCACCGAGAAGACCAAUCCCUGAGGAAGGUAAACAUUAUACUAUAUAAAGUAUGAAGACAAUAAAACCUCCAACAUUCUUAAUUAACUAUUAUUAUUGCACUCUUAUAAACGUUUUACAAUUGUAGAUAGACGACUAAUCCUAAGAAUCCAGAUCUUACCUGGGUACUCAAAUUUCAACAUACACUGCCUGGCCACAGCAAGGUACAACGAUCUAGCCAAGUACCUAACAGAUGAACAAAAAAGGAAGGACUCUGAACAAAGGAGGAGCGAAUCUAAGCUAGAAAGCAUCUACAUCGACAAACCUCAGCAGAAUGUGACAGAAGUCGUCAAGGUAUUCACUUUUCACUUUAGGAAUGUAAAAUGUGAAACAUAGGGUUUUAAUUGAUUGCUUUUUAUAUCUAUUGUUUAGGAGAUAAAAUCUCUGCCCUUCCUGAAGAGGUUAACUAACUUGUGGAUGACGAAAAAAAAAGAAGAUGAUGAACUGUUCAUCGCCAGGGAGUACAUAAAACAUUCCAACUGGACUGAAUACGAGCAAAUGAGUGUCGCUGAAUAUUGCUACGUUGCUAUGAUCUUGGCAGAAAGAUUCAUAAACGGAAAAGACAAUCUUGCACACAUUCUGCCACUACUGAAGUAUUUUCACAAUAGAAUAUACCAAUGCAAUCUUAUGGAAUUCAGAGUAAGCUAUGUUGUGGGAUUCAAGGUUCUAGGUUACUAUUUACCUUCUGCUGCUCAUAAUCAUCAGCUUGUACCGAUUCGUAAACUGGAAGAAUUCCAUGUAGCUGUCUCCCAUCAGCGAUCUAUAAUGGAUCACCCCGACGACUACACCGAGGGGAUUUUUCUUCUACCAUAGCCAUAGCCAGUAUAGUAAAUAAAGCCUGCAGUCAUUUUCUGAUGUAAGUCCAGAUAUAACAACAUAUUGUAAACGCAGCCAGAUGGCUGGUUCAUUUUCUAAUAUAAACUGCAUAUAUAUCAGUUAGUCAGUUAAAUGCCUCAUAAAUAUCUAUACCUGAUAUCGUUUGAUCUAUACAUCAUAUAUGCAUCCAAAUUACCAUUUCGUGCGAUUGAAUUGCAUAUUUCACUGAAAAUGCUUCAGAAUUAGUUAAAUCCUACUACAGAUGAAGAGUUCAUGACUCAUUAAACAGUUAUAUCAAUGUAAUGGAAACAUCUCUACUUUCACAAACACAAUUGGAAUCUGAAUAUAGGUUAAGAUAAAGAAACAAAUAGGAAGGGAAUCAUCUGGAAACAUCAGCAAUGUGUUGAACAACUUUAUCUUUUGCUUUAUUUGUUCAUAAUCUUCUUUAUUUAACAUAAUCUUCUUAACCUUUUCUUCUUUUUCUUCCACUAAAACUAAAAAAAACUGGAAGAAUCAGGAUAUAUCUUGUUUCAACGCAGACCUUGAUGACCAAAAUAAGUUGCUAAUUAAACAGAAGCAUAAGCAUUGUACUAAAACUGUACUAUAUUCAUAAUGUGGAAAGAUUGUCAAACUAUGUUUCAAGUAAAAAUUAUAUCUCUUAAAGCAAAUGUAUCAAAUAAAAAGUAAAAACUAGAAUACUGUUUCGAGUAAGUUUAAGUGUGUCGAGACUUAUACUCACUUAUUCCCCUUGAUCUUGAACCAAGCCUCGGCACAAUGCUUAUGAGCAGCAGCCAGAUCAUCCUUGCACGAACAACCUAAUUCAAUGGCAAUGCCAUUCUCCUGGUGAGCAGCAUCCAUCUCAACACUGAGUUGACAAAUUCUACAAUCCCUCUCCGACUGCACGUUCACUUGAACAACCCGGUUGUCAUCAAUCCAACAGUAGUCUGGUUCAACUACAGAACAGGAAACUCUCCUAGAAUCCAAAACCUGACAGAUUUCAUGAUCAGAAGUAGAGUCAUCAUUUGAGCCAUCAGCAGAAUAAAACUUAGAGUAACAAGAAGCCUCCACUACAACUACAUAAAGCAGUAAUAUUUUACCUAUGACAUUUGGACUACAACUACAGCCCUCCACUUUGUGUUUAAUACACACACACACCAAACGGGAAUAAAAUAUCACAAAGGUACAUAAGAAAAAUCAUAACUGUUAUCGAAGUUAACCACCCAGAAAGCAAAUGACAGUGUCAAGUACAACAUAAAGCGAGAAAAGCUUCAAAUUUGCUAAAAUUCUAACAAAAGGGUUUGAAAAAUCAACAAAAUUAUUGAGAAAGAAGCAGAGGUUGAAAACUUCUAGUUGAAAUGGAAAAGGGCAAACAAUCAAAGAAAUUAGGUUUCCAGAGUAAGUUACAAGCAUGAAUAUGCAAUCUUUAUAUUCAAGACACAGAAAAACAAAGAUAAUUGGCAUGACAAAGCCUUCAGGCUGAAUUUGGCCAGGGCAAGUAGAAAACUUUCCGCAUAUUUAUAAUCUAUACUACAAAAAUCUCAGCUGAUGUGUAAGUUUUUUGUUGAUAAUAUAACUAACCUAAUAUCAGAUCAGCACUCAGCAUAAAAACACCCAAAAUUAUAACAAAUAUUACCAAUGACCUCUUGGUCAGAUAGUAUCACCCUUGCCCAAUUUAUCGGAAAUGGGGGGUUGGAAUCUUGUCUAAAACAAGAUGUGUGUGCUUGUAUGUAAUUACCCCCAAAAGAAUUAUUGUUGCUCUCAAAUCCAGGGUUGGACAUACAAGUCUUGCACUUCCACGAAUCUAUAUUAGUUUUUUUUUCUCUUCUUGUCUAUCAGCUGCAAAACCUUCUUUACUUCUCUUUUAUCUGCAAUACAAUAAGAUAUUUAAUCAUCAAAAACCAAGAACUCUUUGGUAACUGAAGAUGCAUAAAUAACUAGAUUCAUCUUUUACGAAGCGAGAGGCUAAGAAUCCACAACAAUGAGUCUAAGAAUUAAAGACAUUGUUUUCAUCCGAUCUCAACCUAAAUAAGAGAGUAUAUGGGUUUUGAGGAUAUACAACUGAAAAUGUAUGAUUGGUCAGAAAGAUGAAAACUCAACAUUAUUAACAAGAAAUAAAAUAGAAAGUUGUAAACUUGAAAAGGUGCAAUUAAACCUAGGAGGAUUUCUUUGGGAAUCAUUAAUCCAAGCCCUAUUAAAGUAAGUGCAGAGUCCAGAGGUUCUAAGAAAAAGUAAUGUGUUUGAACCAGAAAGAAAAGAACCCUAAGAGAAGGGUAAUCAUUUUUAUUAUACAGAACAUAAAUUGUUAAUUCAGUGUGUGUGUGUGUGUGUGAACAAAAAAAGAAGCACUUUUAAUCCAGGAGGCCACAAACCAAAAUUAAUUGCAACAAUGGAUCCAAAAGAGGGAAGGGGGAGCUUUGCCUCAAUUUGAUGAGAUCUAAACCAAAAGCUAGCAUAAUAAACAUAAAAGAAACAGACAGUUGCGAGCUCCAAAUUGAUUUAAAAAUAGAGCAAUCAAUCAAUCGACUGAAGAAAUUGGGAUGAUAAGGAAAAUAGCAACAACAUUACUUACCAAUAAUGGGAUGUUAUAAACACAUGCACAAGCACAUACACAUAUAUAUUCCAAAUUUCCAUUUAAACACUUUCACCAGGAAAAAAAAAAAUCCAAGACACUCGACAGCGAGAAGUCAUAAUGAUCCGAAAGAACCUGUUAUAGAGCUCAAUACCUAUCUCUACAGAAGUUGAAAUUUAGUAGCAGCAAUAAUAGCCAGAAAGUCCAGAUUAUUGUACAUCUCAGUAGAUACGGCAAUUCACCAAAUGUUCCAAUCCCAUAUCUAGAAAACUUGAAAUUUCAGCCAAAAAAUUGAAAACUUUAUAUUAAAUUGAGAAAAGGAAACUGAACAACCAAACUAAGUACAUAAACUGUGAUUUAGAGCACAUAAUUAAAAAAGAAAAGAGGCUGCAGACAAAAACAUUCGCAACAAAAAAUUCAGGAAUUUGCCUCUGGUAUGCAAAAUAAUGGGAUACCAUUAAUCAUAAACCAAUAUAAUGGUAAGGUACUUCAGGAUAAAAAAUUCAAAAGAUCGAUUUUUUACCUAGAGGGGCUGAUAAUUCACUACCAUGAGUCCAACAAUUAAAGACUUUGCCUUGAACACUGAAAAGGUAUUUCGAUUAAGCUGGAUCAACCCAAAUCAAGAACAUAUAAGGGAUUCAAGAAAACAAAAUUAAAAUUAUCUGAUUAGUCACACAUAAUUAACAUAAAAAACAAAUAGAAAGUUCUAAACUUGCAACUAAUCAACCAAAAUGAACACAAAGAAUAGUGAAUCAACAAUUUAUAGAUAAAGAUGCGAUUUUUACCAUAAAAGAGGCCUCCAACCAAAACUGUCUGGAACAAUGAAUCAAAACUAUAAAGGAUUUUCCCAGAAUUUGAUGAGAUCUGAUUAAAAAUCAAAACUUUAAAUUGCUGAAAGAGGAUAAUCAAACAAUUGGGAAAAAGGGGAUCUGGGAGUGUGUUAUAAGCAUAAAGAUUUGAUUUUGAUGUUAAAGAAGUGGAGAAAUCAAGGAUAUGCGUACGAGAAAGCCUUCACUUGGGGUAAAUGUAGAGACUUUCUUGUGUUGGGUGGGGAAGUGGAAGAGAGAUGAAUGGACGGACACACAGACGGCUGCAGCAACCCUAUCUUGCACCUUUCAGGCUUCAGUAUUAUCAUCGUAUUAUUGUGUCAAUAUAAUAUCAUUUUUUUCUCACCUUUUAAAUGCUAUUUUGUAUAAAAAUAAAAUUUUACAGAGGCAUUGGUAAUAACUUGUAUAUUUAAUUCUGUAAGAGGUUUUAUUUGAAAUAUUAAAAGAUACUUUUUCAAAAAUAUCUAACUUAUGAAUAAUUUUUUCCAAAAACAUUAUAUAUACAAGAAAAAACAGAUUUUUUCGCCACCUAACUUAUUGUUUUUUUAGAAAGUUACCCAUAAAUUAUAAUUUUUUUCCUUUUUGUCACUAAUGUUAGGUUUGGAUUUCUUUUGUCACUAACGUUAGGUUUUGAUUUUAUUAUUAACAUUAUAUUAUUCUUUUUAACAUUAUUAAAAUAUAGUGUUAGUCUGCAAUAUUAUGGUAAUCUGUUACACUUCUAUAUCUUUAUAUAUAAUAUUUUAAAUGUCUCCUAUGUAGUUUACCAUAGAGAAUGAGAGUGUCACACGCAUUAUAAAACUCCUAAAAGAUUUAAUUUUAUAUAUAUAUUAAUUUUUUCCUAAAUAAAAAUUUUGAUUAUCUAUUGUCUAUAUUAUAUAUUGUUUUAUAAAAAUCAAGGUUAGAUUUCAUCUGCAAUUAUUUAUACUAUUGUAAAUGAUAAACUAUUUGAAGUCAUUGAUUUCAAAAUUAGGAUUUAAUGAAUUUUUAGAGUUUUAAUUAUAAUUACUCCCGACCGCUCAUUUAUGUUAUUAUUAUUCCCUCCGUCUAUCUCAUUUAUUUAUAUUUCUUUCCACUGUUUGACACGUAUUUUAAAGUUCACACUUCUUACAAAACAUAUUUCUAUAACUUAAAGAUUUUUUUGUGUAUAAAAAUUUAAACAUUAACUUUUUAUUCAGAAAAAAAAAUUAAAAUAAUUUAUGGAACUAAAUCCUUUAGGAGCCUUAAAAUGCGUGUCAAACUCUCAUCCUCCAAGAUAAACUACCCGGGGCACAUAUAUAGUACUACAUAAAAAGAUACAAACACGUAUCAGAUCAUCAUAAUAUUGUAGACUCCCACUAUAUUUUUUAAUAAUGCUAAAAAGAAUAAUAUUGUAUUAAUAAUCAAAUCUGAAUCUAAAGUCAGUGACAAAAAAAAAAAAUCCAAACCUGACAUUAGUGACAAAAAGGAAAAAAGGUUAUAGUUUAGUGGUAAGUUUCUAAAUAUACAAUAAGUUGGUUGUCGAAAAAUUUAUUUUUUUCUAUAUACAAUUUUUUUUUUGACGUAGGAACCCGCAGCCGCUACCCUUCGGAUGCGCACUGGGUAAACCCACGAGCUCACGUAUUCUAUAUACAAUUUUAACCGUAUUUUUCAAAAUCAAUUUAAAAAGGUAGAUAUGUUUGUAAAUUCUUUUAUAAUAAAAUACAAACAUAAAACCAUUGUGAAGUAGGAGUAACAAAAAUAUAGAAUUUUAAAUGUUUUUUAAAUAACUUAAUUUCUAAUAUCAUUAUAUUCAUUUUAUAUGGGAAAUUAUGGGAUAAUAUACCCAAGUUUGUUCAAAAAUGUUGAUAGAUUUAUUUUUUUGAUAAAAAAGAAUCAAUUCAUUAAUUAAAAGCCAUACAACAUCUAUAAAUACAAUCGAAAUUGGAUAGACGCCGAAAAGUAUCGCUGUUGAAUCCUUCCCUCUUAGAGAGGCAACUAAGCGAUUUGAAGAUGAUUUGAAUAUAUACAUUUGUUUUCAUCUGAUUGGAUUUCACCUGACGGUUCAGAACAAUCGACCAUAGAUGCGAUCUCAUAAUAACCUUCAAACCUGAAUCAAAUCCAUGAAAAUCAUGUCGAUCUAUAACAUCGGUCAUGGAGAACAUUAAAACACACUAAAGACAAAACAAACUAACUCUCGCAAGAAAAAGAGACUAACAAAACUCAAAUAAAUUGAGAACUUAUUGAAUGGAAAAUAAGAUUUCAAAACAAUAAAAAAGAAAAAAAGAAUUAGGACUUUCCACCGGAGAAAACCGAUGGAAGCCCCCUCAAAAAUCUUUAAUGGACGCUAACGUGUUGGGGGGUGCUUAGGAGUAGGGUUAAAAAUGGAGCGGGUUCGGGGCGUGGACUUCAUUUCUCAGCCCCACCCCGUAUAUAUUUUUUCUGCCCUGUCCCCGUCCAAGUCCCUGCGGAUAUAUAUUUUUUCCGCCCUGUCCCCGUCCAUAUAGAUUUGAAAUUUGACUUGCAUGACUUUAUAAGAAAACUCCAGUAAGAAGUAAUACCCCUUAAAAUGAGAUUUAUUCCUAAUUAACAAAAUAAAUUUUUUAAAUGAUUUUUUCAACGAUCCAACCGUACAGAUGUUAAGAUAUAUUUAUUUUUGUCAUGUAAAAAAUAAUUUAAAAAAUUGAAAUUUACCUUGUAUGACUUUAUAAGAAAAAUAUUGUAAGAAGUACUACUCCUUGAAUUAAGAUUCAUUCCUUAUUAACAAAAUAAAUUAUUAAAAUGAUUUUUACAAAGAUCCAACCAUAUGGGUGUUAAGAUAUAUUAAUUUUAGUCAUGUGAAAAAAUAAUUAAAAGAUUUGAAAUUUUACUUGCAUGACUUUAUAAGAAAAAUUCAGUAAGAACUCUUACUUCUUAAAAUGAGAUUGAUUACUGAUUAACAAAAUAAAUUAUUAAAAUGAUUUUUUCAACGAUCCAACCGUACAGAUAUUAAGAUAUAUUGAUUUUAGUCAUAUAAAAAAAUAAUUAAAAGAUUUGAAAUUUAACUUGCAUGACUUUUAUAAGAAAAAUCUAGUAAGAAACGUACUACUCCUUAAAAUCUUUAGAUUCUGCAAAGGAGUACAUUUUUGUUUGGUCUAUUGAGGAACAUUUGCGUUUCGUCAAGUUUUCUGUGGAGGACAUAUAUUGGAAUUAGUGUUAAGUUUUUAUCUUUCUAUCUAUAUUUGUGACUCUAUUAUUAUAAUAGAAAAAAUAAUGAAAGGCCGUGCCUUUGGAGUAGCCAUCUGCAAUAGAGUCGGUUCCACCCCAUUUCUAUUAUAAUUGCUUCAUGAAAGCAUUAGCUAACCCCACUAUACAAAUUGCUCCCAAACACUGUGCCACCAUGUAGCCCAAAGCUCGCAUCAGUGUUAUUUUUCUUGCCAAAAAUCACUGCUGGAUUAAUAUGACACCCUACAAAAUUAGUUGCAGGAUUUUUGCAUUUGCAGGACCGACUGCUUGAUGAAAUUAGAGCAGGUCAGGAUGGGAGGUGGUUGUGAAUUUGUUUGUCUGAUUCUGGAGCCAUUGCAUUUAUUUAGGGAUUUAGGGAUUUAGAGGUAGAUAUGGUGUAAAGAGAUAACGGUGAUUUAAGUUAAUUUAAGUCAAUAUAACUAUUGAAAGAAAAAUGCUAGGGACCCCAAAUAUUUAUCCCAAAUUUUUUUCCCAAAUGAUGUGGUGAAAUUUCAUUGAUUGCAUUCAUUCCCAUAAUAAUGAGGCCCCCCCUGCAGAUUCAUCAACCACCCAAUCAAAUUUCGGCACUUAUUAUCCACGUCAUUUGGCAACAAAUUUUGGGGAAAAAAUUUGGAGUCUCUAGCAUUGCCCCUAUUGAAAUGGAGAAUUGACGGCAAUGUCCUUAUAAAUAUUAACUGUGUUAGUAAAAAUUGACGGAGAGACACAUUUUGUAAAAAAAUCAAAUUUCAGUAUUGCAAAUGAUAUGUAUUAAAAAUUGAUAUUAUAAGUGGUGUCACGCACAAAGUGCGAGUACACAUAAUGUACUUUACUCGUAAUUUUUUUUAUAAUUAUGUGUCUAAUAGAUCUCUUGAAUAUAAAAUCGUCGUAAAAAUUUGAAGCCAAACAGCAGGCUUUUAGGUAUAAAUUUGGACAAUAACUCUCUUGGAUAUGUGUAUUUAGAUUCUUAUACAUGUCAGAAGUUAAUAAAAUUAUUAGAAGUAAAUAUUUAAUUAUUUAUUAUACUCCAUUUAUCUCGGAACGAUAAUUUUGUUUUAAUUUGAUUUAUUAAAAUUUACUAAAUUUUGAGCAAUAAUUACUCAUAUUAUAUAAUUAAAAAAGUUAUAAAUUAUAUAGUUAGAAAAUAUAUUUAAUCUUUUUUAAAAUAGAUUUUCAAUUUUUAAAAAUUAUAAAUUUAUUUUUUAUUAUAAUACAAAAUUGGAUAAUUUAAUUAUUGAAAACAAUGAAAAUUAAAAAGGGUAGUACCACAUGAAAGGAUAAUACAAAAUGAAAAUUUAAUUAGGGGUUUUAAUACACAGUAAACAUGAGGAUGCUCAAGAGAGUUGGAAGAUUAGUGAUGCGAGAGCGAGAGCAUAUAAAUUAUAUACUACACAGGUGUAUAUCAUCACCAGCAAUAUAUGAUGUCGCCAACAGAUCUAUCCCUCUGCUGCAGGACACCCAACUUGACGGUUUUACAGGUUACCAAAUUUCUGUUAACUCUUCAAUUAUAUUGUAUGUAUAUGCAUCGUAUUCGGUUAUCAGGGCUUUUCCUUCCAACUGCAUAAUAUGAUCCACUUUGAUUCUUGAAAUUUGAUUCCUUCCAACUCUAGUAUUUUGGGCAUUACUUGUGAAAAUUGUGGUAUAUGGGGCCUUUUCCUUUAUUUCCCGGCGUUAAUCUAAUCUAGUAUAAUAUUGCGUGAAUGCUUAAUUAAUAACACGAAUGUAUUAUUUGUUGUACUUGAACUAGGCACAACAAAUUUGGUUCUUUAGAGCAAGUCCAAGAAGAAUCCUUAUCCACAAGCUCUAUUAUUAAAAUACUAAUAUAUUAGAAUUGCAAGAGCAAAUGAAGUGUGGAAAGAGAGGGUAUUAUAUUCAAUUUUUAAAACUAAAAUGAGGCUUGUGUAAUUAAGGCAGAUGAAAGAUGUCCUAGCAAUUUAAGGCAUUUUUAGGACACCGGUGGAGCUUUUAUUUUUGUCAAUAACCCUGAAUUUUGAUUUAGGACACCAAAUAAGACAUUUGUUGGACUUGCUCUUAUGUUACAGUAAUCUAUAUGACAACUACUUCACUAUUAUACAAUAGCUUUAUGACCAUGUUUGUUUGAAAUGAUUAUAAUCCUAGGAUAACUACAUUGUUUUCUUUAAAUUUAAAGGAUUAUCAUCUCAUGGGAUUUUAUUGCCAUCACUUUUUUUAUUCAAUCCCAAUCCCAUGGAAAUGAACUAAAACAAUUGAUUAGGAUAUGAAUUCAUGAGAUUAUUAUUCUUGACAAUUGAGAUAAACAAGGUAAUAAUUGGGGGAUUAUAAUCCCUUCAAACAAACAUGACCUAUCUAUGUCGAGUACAAUGAAUAGCUUUUAACCUAAUUAAUGAUUAACAUACGACGUAUUUGUUUUACUGAAGUUAUAUAGAAUAAAUUGUUUACUUAUAUAUAUAAUGGGAUUGCUAGACCUGAGGUAUGAGGGCAUUGGCGGAGCCAGGAUCAAAUGUAUAGAGGGACACCAUAACCCUAAUCACAUAGUUCAGCUGGGGGCACCUGUUAAUAAUACAUGUGAGACCCACAAAAAUAUAGUUGUUUUUUUGAAAGUUGGAGGGGCACGAGCCCCCUGGUGCCCUAAUGUGGCACCGCCACUGUAUGAGGGUGACAAGGUUAAACAAAUGCUAGUAUAAACUAGGGGGUAAUUGUCAAGGUAUCGCCGUGGUGAAAAAUGUAGAAUUAUAGAUGUAUUAAUAUAUGUGGGGUAGCACUUUAUAGCAUACUCUCUUAUAGAGAGUUUCGUGGUAUACCACUAUAAGUAUAUUCAUACUACAUAUAUUUAUUAUAUUUUUCAUUGAAUAUAAAUACAAAUUUUAAUCAUUGAAUUUAAAAAAAUACAAUUUUUUAUUCCAAAAAUCAUUGAAAAUAGUGCAAAAUUCCAACAUGAUUUUACAACAGAAUAAUAGUUAUCCAGAAUUAUUCUGCUAUAGAACUGGUUUCGGAAAUCAACUUUUUUUUUUCAAACUUUAGGUGUUAAAUUAUUUAUAAUAUAUAUAUGCUUGAAUAUUCUAUAUUAGAAUCACAUUUUAACCGUAAAAUUUAUAAUAAUAUUAAUGGUUUAUAAUGGUGCACUACGGAAUUACAUAUAAGAAGGACCUUCAUGGAAUGUUGGCCAAUAUAUGUGUAUUAAUUUGCAGAAGUAUUGUUUUCUUUCUCUUGUAUAAAACUAACUUAUAUCCCGUGGGAUGCACGAGUGACUUGUAAUAUGAUUUUUUUAAUUGUGCAUGUUCUAAUAUUAAUUUGUUUGUGAAAAUACAUUUAUUUUACAUGCUAAAUAAGUUUUUAAUAAUUAAGCCCGUGAAAAAAAAUUACAAAUAAAAAGACCCAAGAAAUAUAUUUUACCGAGAUGGAAAUAUGUCUUAGCUGUGAAGCAGGCAUACGGCAAACUACUGAAGAAUCGCAGGGGGUGCGCGCACCGUGCGGGAGCGCAGCGGUGCGACAGGGGGUGCGCCAGGUGGCAUGGCGACGAAUAUCCUUGGCCGAUACGCGGCGGUGCAGGAAAUGCGGUGCGGGAGGGGCAACAUCGGUAAUUUCACAGCAUAUUAAACAACCGUAAUUGAAGCCCCCAAUCUAGUCUCCUUCUUUCCGGCGAGCGGUGGAUGUUUCUUCUUCGCAUAAGGCUCGAUCUGCUCCAACUGCAAUGCCUCUAUAUAUCUGUGUGUAUUGUAUAUCUCUGUUGGUGCAGUGGUUGUUUGUUGUAUUGGGCUUGGGCCUAGCUAUCUACGUGGAUUAUGAACAAAUAACUGCUAAUCUAAUCUGGUUGUUGUCUCCUUUUAAUUUCUUUAUUUUUUAUUUGCUGACUUUUUAAUAAUUUUGUUAAUUUAGUUUUACUAAUUAUUAUAUACAUAAAUUAUAUUUUUUUAAUAUUAUAUAUAUAUAAAAUAUAUUUUUAAUAUUUUAUUUUUGCCGUAUACCGCCGCACCCGUAUCCUCAUUUUUUGAAAUUUACCGAAUUCGCGUAUCCCCGCACCGCGCAUCCCCGCACCCGCACCCAUGCUUCCCAGUGUCUUAGUAAAAUUCAAAAAGGACCCGUCAAAACAUGUUAUAAAAUUAAAAGACCAAUAAACUGACCCAAAUACAGACCAACCAAAACUUAUGCUGUCGUCUUAAAUAGUAUAUAGAUUCUAAUUAAAAGACUCCGAAAUGGUUCACUGAAAAGUUAAAAAUAAAUUAAAAUAUAUUACCGGAUGAUUACAUUUUAUUUCUUGUAAUAUCCUUUUACGUAUGUUGAAACUCAUCAAAUAUUGGAACUUGAUUUGACAGAGGACCAUAGAAGUAAAUGCUACGAAUUGGAGAGGAAAACAAAAGAAGAAUCUGAUUUUGAUAUAGCGGUAAGGAAUUUUACCAAUCUCUCAAUAGAGAUGAAGAAACAGAAGAUUAAUCAGAAGGAGCUUACAAGUGUCAGUAGUGGAGAUAUUGUUAAUCUACACGAGCUUUUGUUUACCAAAAACAGGGACUAUCUAAUCAAAUUCAAUGGGGACCAGGUACGUGUGCAUGAUUUUAUAUUCAUACAUACAUAUAUAUAUACAUACAUAUAUAUACAUAUAUAUAUAUAUAUAUAGGCAAUUGAUCAAAUACAAACCAACUCUUAAAUACAAACUAAAAACCAGAUUUCUUACCACUAUUUAUAACUACGAGUAUCACUAAUUUAUAUUGCACUAAUCACUGUUUUUGUACAAUAUAUAAACAACGAUUUUUAUCAUCAAAAUUGAGAAAAUCUACUUACAUAAACUAUUGGUAAUCGAUUAUAUAUGAUCAAUUUGAGUCGUAGGAAGGUUCUUAGUGGUAAGAAGCCGUAGAGAAGUUGUAUGAUGGUGUUAAGUAGUUGUUAGUUUUGGUAAGUUAUGAUGGAAAGUGUAUGUGACUAUUGGUGAUGGUAGACAAUGGUGGCAUGUCAUGAAAACGUCUGGUAAUGGUGGUGGUAAGAGGUCCAUUAUAACGGUUCAGGUGAAGAUGAUGGUCAUAUACGUUGCAUAUAUGUGAUGUGUGUGUGUGUAUUUAUAUUCGCGAGAUAUGCUAUAUAUAAAUUAGUGAUAUGUUAUGUACAAAUUAGUGAUUUCUGUAGUAAAAAAUAGUGAUAAAAAACUGACCAGAACUGGUUUUUAGUUUUUAGGCUAAUUUGGUUUGUAUUGGAGUAGGACUCUAUAUAUAUAUAUAUAUAUAAAUCUAGAAGGCCAAGCCAUGUAUAUAUAUAUAUAUAUAUAUAUAUAUAUAUAUAUAUAUAUAUAUAUGGAAGGCCAAGCCAUAAGAAUAUAUGUUGGUACUUCUACAUUGUCUUAUAUUAAUGUUAAUGCCAUGGUUUGGGGGAAUUUCGGAGCAGGGAGACUUUAAUUUUUGUUUCUGCCCCGGUCCCCAAAAUUUUCUUAUAAAAAUUUCUUGUUCCCAAAGCCGAACAAGCUCUGUCCUGAAUGGAGUGGGGAUCGGAUAUGGGUUAUGCAAAUCAUAAAACAUUAAUGAUGGUAUUUAAGAAAUUACGACACGCUAGAAUAAAGUAGACCGCAUAACAGCUAUUGAGGGUCACUUAUUGGCUAUAGGGCUGUAAAUCGAUACGGACUAUCCGGUGUCUCCGCUCAUAUCCGGCUCGAAAAUAUGAUACAUGUCUCAUAUCCGUUUUGAAAACGAUCCGAAUCUGGCGAAAAAAUUAAGUCCGUAUAAUAUAUGAUCCCGAAUACGAGCACACCUAUACCCGCUCAGAUUCGGUCUCAUAUAAUUUUUCAUAAUAUGAUCCUACCCGAAUAACCGAAUAUGAUCCACGGUUCAUAUUCGAUUCAAACUCAUAUAAAUAUUAUAUUUUAACACCAUCAUAUUUGCAAAUAAAUAGUCAUCAUUUUAUAUAAUUUUAAUAUCUUAUUUAAGUUUAUAUCUUCAUAAAAUAUGAUUUAUUUAAUGUGAUCAUGCUUAUAUCUUCGUAUAUAUUUAAUAAAUGAUAUAUAUACAAACAUAUAACUAUAAGUUUUAAUUUAAAAUUAUUAUACUUUAUAAUAUUAUGUUUACUUAGACUAAAUGAUAAUUAUUUGAACAACUGAAAUAAUAAUGAUAUUUAGUGUUACUGGAUCAUAUCCGGCUCAUAUUCGAUGGAUCAUAAACUACCCCGUUAAAAAAUAGAAAAUACGAUACUGGAUCAUAUCCGGUUCUGAUCCGAAUCUCAAAUACCGGGAUCGGUUUAUAUCCGAAUAUAACGAUCCCGGACCCAAAUCUGGACAAGAUAAAAAUAAUAUGCCGGGAUCACCCGGAUCAUUUUACAGCCCUAAUUGGCUAAAGAGAUGACCAGAACUAGACACAAAAUGAAACAAAUGUCAUUGAUAGCCCAAGUUAAACGAGAAUCAAUAAAUGAUCAUCUAGAACACAAACUGUGAGCUCAGCCGGCGCCAAAAACUCUCACUGCCUGCAUUAAAUUGAGCAGUCCUCUAAUCAAGGUUAAGUAGUUCAUUAACGACUUAAGAUGACAAAGUUGUUCAUCUUAAUGGAGGUAAACAUCUUUUUUCUAGGAAAAAAGAUGUUUGAUAUCUCCAUUAAGAUGACAAAGUUGUUCUUUUGGACUCGGAUGUGAUAUUCUGCAUUGCUAGUUUUGGCUUUAAAGAUUCUGUCAUCUUUUCUGGUUAUCAUCGUGGAGUAGUAGUAGUAGUAGUACCAUCAUGCUUAGAAUCUGCGGUUUUAGUGGCAAAGAGUAACUUAGUUUUAGUGAUGAAUCAGGGAAUCGAAGCAAGUGAUCAUGUAUCCAAAUAAAGAGAGGCAAGAAUUUGGUAGCUGUAUUUAGCUUUGGCUUGCCUUUAAAGCUCCACUUACUUUGAUAAAGAUAUGCCAUUGUUCCUGAAUAUUUUUCUUCAUCUUCUUCUUUAAGCUAGGGUAAUGUGUUCCCCUGGUAUUACUGUAGAUGGUUAUUUAUCCAAACAUCAAAAGUUAUUCGCCUAGUAAUGCAUUGGUAUCCUGUUCUUUCUUUGAUAUUUCAUCUGAAAUCACAAACAGUAGAUUACAAGAUUGUGGACCCAUAGAUAAAGAGGCUGAUGAUAAAAACAUGACUGUGAAGCUUUGCAUGAUUAAUAUAUUUACAAAUUAUCAUUCUUUUUAUGGGUAGAAUUAGGUCUACUGGAAAACAUCGGAAAGUGACUCCAGACUAGAAAAUACAAGUGAAAAUGUUUGGUAUGAUAGUAUUCACACUGUGUGCUCGAGGGAGAGACUCUUUCCAACAUAAUCUGGGAAUAAUUGGGGUGCAGAAGUGAUGAUUGUGGAGAAGAAAGGAUGAAACAUGGGCGGCUGUAACCCAUCUCUCCAAAAGAGAAUGGUUUGGGAUGUAACAAAAUGCAGGAGGGGCAGCUUGUAGUGAGUGUAAAAAAAAAAGCCUAAAUUGAAUUCAUUGGCAGAGGCUGGCAUGAUGUGUAAUGAUGAAACAGGUUUGUACAGAGUUAAGUAGCACAAGAAUACAAGUUGUGGACUUACCAGGAGACCUAAGUCUAUAAGAUAAUGAUAUACUUGACGAGGUAGAGGAAAAUGAGAGAAUUGCAUGGUGACAUGCAACAACUUAAUGGAGGUAAACAUCUUUUUUCUAAACAACUUGUAGAGAAAGCUAGGGUUUUGGAGAGAGAAAGCUAGGGUUUUAGAGAGAGAAUGCAGUUAUAGACAAACAAGAGAGAGAAGCAGUUGGUGGAAUUAGAUUCCAUUUUCUGUAUUUAAAUUCAACAUCCUCGAAAAAUACAACUCAUACUUCUAUCUAUAGAUUUGAUAUCCUUAAGUAAUGUGAAAGUGCUAAACAGCCCUUCCCUUGUACUAUACUAACACUAACAGUCUUCUAAGGAGAGUGCUAAUGUAAAGCAGUUGUUGGUGCAAUCCUAACAGACUACUACUACUCUCGCAUUGAAGUGAAGAAAGCUUAACGAAAAAUGAAAUCGAUGCCGAGCAUAGUUAAAAUGAACACCUGGUUUAUUUCUCAUCGAUCAUGUACCAGAGUUUUCCCAAGUUCAAUUUUGACCAAUUUAGUUAUUUGAGAGGUUUUGUGAUAUUUCUUAACUGCUUAGUGUGAGGGGCAAAUCAAUUCUUGUGCAAGGAGAGGGAUGCGGUCAUUCUGUGGACUUGUAUUCAAAUAUCAAAUUGUUAGUUAGUUUUAUGCAAUAAGCACUGUACCAAAUAGGACCAAUUAUAAGCUACUUGCACAAACAAGCCGAAAUCUAAUAUCUCGUCUUUUAUUUUGCAUGGCGAUAAUAUGAAAUCUAGAACAGUUUGGAUGACAACUCAAGCGCCAUUGUGAAAUAUCCACAAAGCCUAUUGAUAAAUUAUAUUUUUUUUAUAUAUAUAUAUAUCCUACAUCACUUUAGCUCCAAAAUAUACUUCUUUAAAAUGCAUGACUUGUGUUGUGUCUGACUGGCUUUUGAAAUUGUACCUGGAAGCUAGAAUGAGGUUCACCUAUGUAACAGCUAUAAACAUGUGUUUUCAGCUUAUCAACUUAUAACAAGUAUAUACUCUGUAGGUGAAGGCUGAGCAGUUUGCUGACAAGGUUAUCGUUAUAUAUUUUGUGUUACUGCCACUUGUUGAUAAUAAUUCUGCUGAGCGGGUGGGGCUGAUCACAGAAAGAUUAAAGGAUGUAUACAACUUUCUACCACCUAACAAAGGUUUCGAGAUCGUUUUUGUGGCUGUUGAUGAUGAUGACACUAGCUUUGAAGAAGAAAUGUUAUUUGAUCCUUUACCUAAAACAGACCUUGAGAAUGAUUUUGAAGAGGUAUUUUCUUGCAUGCCCUGGACUGCCAUUCCAUUGUCUGAUAGAACAUCCAGGGAACUUCUGCAGAAAAGAUUUGGUUUUAGGGAUAACAACGGUAGCCUGUUUGUAAUUGAUUCAAAAGGGGUCGUUUUGCAAACAAUUGUCAUUUAUGAUUUUAUUCGAUAUGGAAGUCUAGGAUAUCCUUUCAGCAGUGAGAGGCUCGAAUCCCUGGAAUCUGAAUGCAAAGCAAUCGCUGCAGAACCCACAGUAGAAAAACUUCUGUCUUCCCCUGAACGAGACUAUGUCAUUGCGAAUAACGGGGACAAGGUAUACCAUGCACACUUUAUAACAUUUGGUGAUAAGGGCAUAUCCACGAGUACCUUGUUGUAGUCAAUUAAUUUCUUUUUCAUUUGUACAUCCAGUUGAGUUUGGAUAAUAAUAUUUUCCUUUACACUUCCUACUGUUACAUGUAUUGUUAGGUGCCUAUUCAUACACUUGAAGAUAAGGUGGUAGCUCUAUACUUCCACGCAGGCAACGUAACUGAAACUGAUAUGCUUACAGAAGAACUUAGGAAUGUAUAUGAAAAGUUGGCUGAAAAAGAAGUUAAAUUUGAGGUUGUGCUUCUUUACCUUUGUGACACACCCAUUACUAUUGGAUUUAGAAAUGAAGAUUCAUUCUGGAGAACUUUUGGGACUAUGCCUUGGUUAGCUCUCCCUUAUAAAGACCCUAUCCUGAAGAAGUUGAAAAUAAUUUACGAGUAUCCUGAGGAUUAUAAUUAUGGUGAUGAUGAGGAGAUCUCCAAGCUUGUAAUUGUCGGUCCUCAUGGAGAAUUUUGUGAACCAUGUGGAGCCGACAUUUUGUUGAACUACAGAGUUCCAGGAUACCCCUUCACGCGUGAAAAAGCUCUCGAGUUAGAGACCGAAAGAAUAAAGAAAUUGAAGUUAGAGAUGAUUUUGGAGACGAACAAGGUCUUGACCAGAAAUGACGGAUCCAAGGUAUGUUCUUUUGACGUCUUGAUGCAUUAUUCAAAGAGUUUGGUAUAAAUUUUAUCUUCUCUUAUUCCAGUUCCUAAAGCCACUUCCAUGGCGCCUAUUAAAGAACAUUGAAACUGGUUAAUAAAUCAUAAUUAUUUCUUCUUUAACGGCACCUGUUACAGUUAUAAUGGUGCAUUGUUGCCCAAUUUUUCAGUACAUGUCAACUUAUCAAUUCCACUUUAAUAGGUUUCGCUCUCUCAACUUGCUGGCUAGAGGAUUAUGCUUUUAUUUGGUCUAUUUGAAGAUGAGUUCCUAAACAUGUUAAAAGAAAGGUAUCUCUCUAUGAAGAGUACAGAUGGUGAAUUUGAAGUAAUCCACAUCUAUGUAUCUGACACUGAUGAUGUUGUAGACCCGCCGGCCUGGUUUGUGUAUCAUCUGCCAAAAGGCUUCCGCUAUGCUUCUGAUAUUAUACCUGCUGACUUUGAUAAACGAUACUUUAGACAAGAAGAGAUUUACGAUGUUGGAGAUACGAGAAGACUUCUUGCUUUUGAUCGAGAUGGAAUGAUCGUCAGAGACUCGGCUUUUCCGACGAUUGAAGAUAUGAAUUUCCCCUUCUACACCAGGGGGUUGGAAAAGGAAGCCUUACUAGAAUUAGAUUCUGUGUUCCAUUGGUAUGAAUGGGAAGACGCUGAGAGUUGGAACCGUGAGGCAGGGUAUAUUGGACCAAACCAGUCUUGCGGACGAUCGGUUGGAUCCAUUUCCGCCUUGGGCGUCAUUAGUUUUGAGUCAUGAUGGGUUGAAGCAUGCUGAUAGUUAUUAGAAUAUAAUAAAUUGAAGUGUUCUAUUAUUUUAUGUAUUAUUAGUUAUUUGAAGGAUGG